This 24-nucleotide non-coding RNA is filed under the name Arabidopsis thaliana (thale cress). The record is from RNAcentral. Lineage: Eukaryota; Viridiplantae; Streptophyta; Magnoliopsida; Brassicales; Brassicaceae.
AGAAUAACUGGUGAUGUUCCGUGA